GGUUAAGUUAACAAGGGCGCAUGGUGAAUGCCUUGGCACUAGGAGCCGAUGAAGGACGGGACUAACACCGAUAUGCUUCGGGGAGCUGUACGUAAGCUAUGAUCCGGAGAUCUCCGAAUGGGGCAACCCAGCAGUUUUAAUCAACUGUUACCACUAGAUGAAUUCAUAGUCUAGUUGGAGGUAAACGCUGUGAACUGAAACAUCUCAUUAGCAGCAGGAAUAUAAAGAAAUUUCGAUUCCCUAAGUAGCGGCGAGCGAACGGGGAACAGCCCAAACCAAAGUGCUUGCACUUUGGGGUUGUAGGACUGAACAUUUGAGUUACCAAAGAACUUGAUAGUCGAAGGAUUUGGGAAAAUCCGCCAUAGAUGGUGAUAGCCCAGUAGAUUAAAUCAAAUUCUCUCAGUUCAGGAUCCUGAGUACGGCGGAACACGUGAAAUUCCGUCGGAAUCCGGGAGGACCAUCUCCCAAGGCUAAAUACUACCUAGUGACCGAUAGUGAACCAGUACCGUGAGGGAAAGGUGAAAAGCACCCCGGGAGGGGAGUGAAAUAGUUCCUGAAACCAUGUGCCUACAAUAAGUCAGAGCGCGUUAAUGCGUGAUGGCGUGCCUUUUGUAGAAUGAACCGGCGAGUUAUGAUCCCGUGCAAGGUUAAGACUAAAAAGUCGGAGCCGUAGCGAAAGCGAGUCUGAAAUGGGCGUUUUGAGUACGAGGUUAUAGACCCGAAACCAGGUGACCUAUCCAUGUCCAGGUUGAAGGUGCGGUAAAACGCACUGGAGGACCGAACCCGUGUAAGUUGAAAAUUGCUGGGAUGAGGUGUGGAUAGCGGUGAAAUUCCAAACGAACUUGGAGAUAGCUGGUUCUCUCCGAAAUAGCUUUAGGGCUAGCCUCGGAAUUAGGAUCAUGGAGGUAGAGCACUAUUUGGACUAGGGGCCCGUCUUGGGUUACUGAAUUCAGAUAAACUCCGAAUGCCAUUGAUUCAUAUCCGGGAGUCAGACGAUGAGUGAUAAGAUCCACCGUCGAAAGGGGAACAGCCCAGACCAUCAGUUAAGGUCCCUAAAUGUAUGCUAAGUGGAAAAGGAUGUGGAGUUGCAUAGACAACUAGGAUGUUGGCUCAGAAGCAGCCACCAUUUAAAGAGUGCGUAAUAGCUCACUAGUCGAGUGAUCCUGCGCCGAAAAUGUACCGGGGCUAAGCAUACUACCGAAACCAUGGAUGCGACCAUUAGGUCGCGUGAUAGGAGAGCGUUCUAAGGGCGGUGAAGCAAGAUCGUGAGGACUUGUGGAGCGCUUAGAAGUGAGAAUGCCGGUAUGAGUAGCGAAAGAUAGGUGAGAAUCCUAUCCACCGAAUGACUAAGGUUUCCUGGGGAAGGCUCGUCCUCCCAGGGUUAGUCGGGACCUAAGUCGAGGCCGAGAGGCGUAGACGAUGGAUAACAGGUUGAGAUUCCUGUACUAGUUAAGUGCGUUUGAGCAAUGGAGGGACGCAGGAGGCUAAGAUGUGCAUUCUGUUGGAUUAGAAUGUCCAAGCAGUAAGUCUUGUGAAGAGUCAAAUGCUUUUCACUUUAAGGACAAGCUGUGAUGGGGAGCGAAAUUUAGUAGCGAAGCGUCUGAUGUCACACUGCCGAGAAAAGCUUCUAGUGAGUACUUAACUACCCGUACCGCAAACCGACACAGGUAGUCGAGGAGAGAAUCCUAAGGUGAGCGAGUGAACUCUCGUUAAGGAACUCGGCAAAAUGACCCCGUAACUUCGGGAGAAGGGGUGCUGAUCGCAAGAUCAGCCGCAGUGAAUAGGCCCAGGCGACUGUUUAUCAAAAACACAGGUCUCUGCAAAAUCGUAAGAUGACGUAUAGGGGCUGACGCCUGCCCGGUGCUGGAAGGUUAAAAGGAUGGGUUAGCUUCGGCGAAGCUCAGAAUUGAAGCCCCAGUAAACGGCGGCCGUAACUAUAACGGUCCUAAGGUAGCGAAAUUCCUUGUCGGGUAAGUUCCGACCCGCACGAAAGGCGUAACGAUCUGGGCACUGUCUCAACGAGAGACUCGGUGAAAUUAUAUUGUCCGUGAAGAUGCGGACUACCCGCGACAGGACGGAAAGACCCCAUGGAGCUUUACUGUAGCUUGAUAUUGAGUGUUUGUACAGCUUGUACAGGAUAGGUAGGAGCCAUAGAAACCGGAACGCUAGUUUCGGUGGAGGCGUUGGUGGGAUACUACCCUCGCUGUAUGACCACUCUAACCCGCACCACUAAUCGUGGUGGGAGACAGUGUCAGGUGGGCAGUUUGACUGGGGCGGUCGCCUCCUAAAAAGUAACGGAGGCGCCCAAAGGUUCCCUCAGAAUGGUUGGAAAUCAUUCGCAGAGUGUAAAGGCACAAGGGAGCUUGACUGCGAGACAGACAGGUCGAGCAGGGACGAAAGUCGGGCUUAGUGAUCCGGUGGUACCGUAUGGAAGGGCCAUCGCUCAACGGAUAAAAGCUACCCUGGGGAUAACAGGCUUAUCUCCCCCAAGAGUCCACAUCGACGGGGAGGUUUGGCACCUCGAUGUCGGCUCAUCGCAUCCUGGGGCUGUAGUCGGUCCCAAGGGUUGGGCUGUUCGCCCAUUAAAGCGGUACGCGAGCUGGGUUCAGAACGUCGUGAGACAGUUCGGUCCCUAUCCGUCGCGGGCGUAGGAAAUUUGAGAGGACCUGUCCUUAGUACGAGAGGACCGGGAUGGACAUACCUCUGGUGUACCAGUUGUGCCGCCAGGCGCAUCGCUGGGUAGCUACGUAUGGAUGUGAUAAACGCUGAAAGCAUCUAAGUGUGAAACACACCUCGAGAUGAGAUUUCCCAUUCCUUUAUGGAAGUAAGACCCCUGAAAGAUGAUCAGGUAGAUAGGUUAGAAGUGGCAGUGCGGUGACGCAUGAAGCGGACUAAUACUAAUCGGUCGAGGACUUAACCAA
Molecule: ribosomal RNA, 2921 nt
Filed under: Lactiplantibacillus plantarum
Lineage: Bacteria; Bacillati; Bacillota; Bacilli; Lactobacillales; Lactobacillaceae
Description: 23S ribosomal RNA
Rfam family: Bacterial large subunit ribosomal RNA
Source: RNAcentral